This 484-nucleotide ribosomal RNA is filed under the name uncultured bacterium. RNAcentral's name for it is "partial 16S ribosomal RNA". It matches the Rfam family "Bacterial small subunit ribosomal RNA", at positions 29 to 507 of the family's 1533-position model. The record is from RNAcentral.
AUUGAACGCUGGCGGCAUGCUUUACACGUGCAAGUCGAACGGCAGCGCGGGCUUCGGCCUGGCGGCGAGUGGCGAACGGGUGAGUAAUACAUCGGAACGUGCCCAGUAGUGGGGGAUAGCUCGGCGAAAGCCGGAUUAAUACCGCAUACGACCUGAGGGUGAAAGCGGGGGAUCUUCGGACCUCGCGCUAUUGGAGCGGCCGAUGGCAGAUUAGCUAGUUGGUGGGGUAAAGGGCUACCAAGGCGACGAUCUGUAGCUGGUCUGAGAGGGCGACCAGCCACACUGGGACUGAGACACGGCCCAGACUCCUACGGGAGGCAGCAGUGGGGAAUUUUGGACAAUGGGCGAAAGCCUGAUCCAGCAAUGCCGCGUGUGUGAUGAAGGCCUUCGGGUUGUAAAGCACUUUUGGCGGGAACGAAAAGGACUGUGCCAAUACCACGGUUCGAUGACGGUACCCGCAGAAUAAGCACCGGCUAACUACGUG